Molecule: transfer RNA, 84 nt
Filed under: Agaricus bisporus var. bisporus H97
Lineage: Eukaryota; Fungi; Basidiomycota; Agaricomycetes; Agaricales; Agaricaceae
Description: tRNA-Trp
Rfam family: tRNA
About the family: Transfer RNA (tRNA) molecules are approximately 80 nucleotides in length.
Source: RNAcentral
GGACCCCUAGCUCAGUGGUAGAGCGUGAGAUUCCAGUUUAUGCGUGUUUCCUCAAGGUCAUCCGUUCAAUCCGGGUGGGGUUCA